GGUCCUGUGGCGCAAUGGAUACGCGUCUGACUACGGAUCAGAAGAUUCCAGGUUCGAAUCCUGGCAGGAUCG
This 72-nucleotide transfer RNA is filed under the name Pollicipes pollicipes. RNAcentral describes it as "tRNA-Arg". It matches the Rfam family "tRNA". From Rfam's summary of the family: Transfer RNA (tRNA) molecules are approximately 80 nucleotides in length. Their secondary structure includes four short double-helical elements and three loops (D, anti-codon, and T loops). Further hydrogen bonds mediate the characteristic L-shaped molecular structure. tRNAs have two regions of fundamental functional importance: the anti-codon, which is responsible for specific mRNA codon recognition, and the 3' end, to which the tRNAs corresponding amino acid is attached (by aminoacyl-tRNA synthetases). tRNAs cope with the degeneracy of the genetic code in two manners: having more than one tRNA (with a specific anti-codon) for a particular amino acid; and 'wobble' base-pairing, i.e. permitting non-standard base-pairing at the 3rd anti-codon position. The record is from RNAcentral. Lineage: Eukaryota; Metazoa; Arthropoda; Thecostraca; Pollicipedomorpha; Pollicipedidae.